GUUCUUGCUAGGGCAAAUCAUAUACUAAAAUUACAACGAUACAGAGAGGAUCGGCAUUGCAUCUUCACAACGAUGAGACGCAAAACCGUGAAGCGUUUCACAUUUUA
This is a non-coding RNA of Glossina morsitans morsitans, 107 nucleotides long. The record is from Rfam. NCBI's taxonomy places the organism in Eukaryota, Metazoa, Arthropoda, Insecta, Diptera, Glossinidae.